AGAGUUUGAUCAUGGCUCAGAUUGAACGCUGGCGGCAGGCCUAACACAUGCAAGUCGAGCGGUAACACAGAGAGCUUGCUCUCGGGUGACGAGCGGCGGACGGGUGAGUAAUGUCUGGGAAACUGCCUGAUGGAGGGGGAUAACUACUGGAAACGGUAGCUAAUACCGCAUAACGUCGCAAGACCAAAGUGGGGGACCUUCGGGCCUCAUGCCAUCAGAUGUGCCCAGAUGGGAUUAGCUAGUAGGUGGGGUAACGGCUCACCUAGGCGACGAUCCCUAGCUGGUCUGAGAGGAUGACCAGCCACACUGGAACUGAGACACGGUCCAGACUCCUACGGGAGGCAGCAGUGGGGAAUAUUGCACAAUGGGCGCAAGCCUGAUGCAGCCAUGCCGCGUGUGUGAAGAAGGCCUUCGGGUUGUAAAGCACUUUCAGCGGGGAGGAAGGCGGUGAGGUUAAUAACCUCACCGAUUGACGUUACCCGCAGAAGAAGCACCGGCUAACUCCGUGCCAGCAGCCGCGGUAAUACGGAGGGUGCAAGCGUUAAUCGGAAUUACUGGGCGUAAAGCGCACGCAGGCGGUCUGUCAAGUCGGAUGUGAAAUCCCCGGGCUCAACCUGGGAACUGCAUUCGAAACUGGCAGGCUAGAGUCUUGUAGAGGGGGGUAGAAUUCCAGGUGUAGCGGUGAAAUGCGUAGAGAUCUGGAGGAAUACCGGUGGCGAAGGCGGCCCCCUGGACAAAGACUGACGCUCAGGUGCGAAAGCGUGGGGAGCAAACAGGAUUAGAUACCCUGGUAGUCCACGCCGUAAACGAUGUCGAUUUGGAGGUUGUGCCCUUGAGGCGUGGCUUCCGGAGCUAACGCGUUAAAUCGACCGCCUGGGGAGUACGGCCGCAAGGUUAAAACUCAAAUGAAUUGACGGGGGCCCGCACAAGCGGUGGAGCAUGUGGUUUAAUUCGAUGCAACGCGAAGAACCUUACCUGGUCUUGACAUCCACAGAACUUNCGAUUGACGUUACCCGCAGAAGAAGCACCGGCUAACUCCGUGCCAGCAGCCGCGGUAAUACGGAGGGUGCAAGCGUUAAUCGGAAUUACUGGGCGUAAAGCGCACGCAGGCGGUCUGUCAAGUCGGAUGUGAAAUCCCCGGGCUCAACCUGGGAACUGCAUUCGAAACUGGCAGGCUAGAGUCUUGUAGAGGGGGGUAGAAUUCCAGGUGUAGCGGUGAAAUGCGUAGAGAUCUGGAGGAAUACCGGUGGCGAAGGCGGCCCCCUGGACAAAGACUGACGCUCAGGUGCGAAAGCGUGGGGAGCAAACAGGAUUAGAUACCCUGGUAGUCCACGCCGUAAACGAUGUCGAUUUGGAGGUUGUGCCCUUGAGGCGUGGCUUCCGGAGCUAACGCGUUAAAUCGACCGCCUGGGGAGUACGGCCGCAAGGUUAAAACUCAAAUGAAUUGACGGGGGCCCGCACAAGCGGUGGAGCAUGUGGUUUAAUUCGAUGCAACGCGAAGAACCUUACCUGGUCUUGACAUCCACAGAACUUNUUGGUGCCUUCGGGAACUGUGAGACAGGUGCUGCAUGGCUGUCGUCAGCUCGUGUUGUGAAAUGUUGGGUUAAGUCCCGCAACGAGCGCAACCCUUAUCCUUUGUUGCCAGCGGUUAGGCCGGGAACUCAAAGGAGACUGCCAGUGAUAAACUGGAGGAAGGUGGGGAUGACGUCAAGUCAUCAUGGCCCUUACGACCAGGGCUACACACGUGCUACAAUGGCAUAUACAAAGAGAAGCGACCUCGCGAGAGCAAGCGGACCUCAUAAAGUAUGUCGUAGUCCGGAUUGGAGUCUGCAACUCGACUCCAUGAAGUCGGAAUCGCUAGUAAUCGUAGAUCAGAAUGCUACGGUGAAUACGUUCCCGGGCCUUGUACACACCGCCCGUCACACCAUGGGAGUGGGUUGCAAAAGAAGUAGGUAGCUUAACCUUCGGGAGGGCGCUUACCACUUUGUGAUUCAUGACUGGGGUGAAGUCGUAACAAGGUAACCGUAGGGGAACCUGCGGUUGGAUCACCU
This 2051-nucleotide ribosomal RNA is filed under the name Klebsiella pneumoniae. RNAcentral's name for it is "bacterial SSU rRNA". It matches the Rfam family "Bacterial small subunit ribosomal RNA". Lineage: Bacteria; Pseudomonadati; Pseudomonadota; Gammaproteobacteria; Enterobacterales; Enterobacteriaceae. The record is from RNAcentral.